AUUCUUGGUGUCUCUUCAGAUCGAAUAAUCUUUGCUUUUUGCUAAGAGUUUUCGUGAAGUAAACCUUCUAUGAGUUCCAUACAAAAAAUUUUUUGAGGCUCUGCCCAUGCAGAGCU
Molecule: small nuclear RNA, 116 nt
Organism: Bombina bombina (fire-bellied toad)
Lineage: Eukaryota; Metazoa; Chordata; Amphibia; Anura; Bombinatoridae
Product: U5 spliceosomal RNA
Exons: 1
Source: RefSeq, a predicted model, not a curated record